GGGGCCAUAGCUCAGUUGGUAGAGCGCCUGCUUUGCAAGCAGGAUGUCGUCGGUUCGAAUCCGUCUGGCUCCACCA
RNAcentral lists this transfer RNA (76 nucleotides) under Caulobacter sp. RNAcentral describes it as "tRNA-Ala". It matches the Rfam family "tRNA". From Rfam's summary of the family: Transfer RNA (tRNA) molecules are approximately 80 nucleotides in length. Their secondary structure includes four short double-helical elements and three loops (D, anti-codon, and T loops). Lineage: Bacteria; Pseudomonadati; Pseudomonadota; Alphaproteobacteria; Caulobacterales; Caulobacteraceae. The record is from RNAcentral. RNAcentral also lists the same sequence under 116 other names.